RNAcentral lists this ribosomal RNA (492 nucleotides) under uncultured bacterium. RNAcentral's name for it is "partial 16S ribosomal RNA". It matches the Rfam family "Bacterial small subunit ribosomal RNA", at positions 29 to 507 of the family's 1533-position model. The record is from RNAcentral.
AGUGAACGCUGGCGGUAGGCCUAACACAUGCAAGUCGAACGGCAGCACAGUAAGAGCUUGCUCUUACGGGUGGCGAGUGGCGGACGGGUGAGGAAUACAUCGGAAUCUACUUUUUCGUGGGGGAUAACGUAGGGAAACUUACGCUAAUACCGCAUACGACCUACGGGUGAAAGCAGGGGAUCUUCGGACCUUGCGCGAUUGAAUGAGCCGAUGUCGGAUUAGCUAGUUGGCGGGGUAAAGGCCCACCAAGGCGACGAUCCGUAGCUGGUCUGAGAGGAUGAUCAGCCACACUGGAACUGAGACACGGUCCAGACUCCUACGGGAGGCAGCAGUGGGGAAUAUUGGACAAUGGGCGCAAGCCUGAUCCAGCCAUACCGCGUGGGCGAAGAAGGCCUUCGGGUUGUAAAGCCCUUUUGUUGGGAAAGAAAAGCAGCAGGUUAAUAACCCGCUGUUCUGACGGUACCCAAAGAAUAAGCACCGGCUAACUUCGUG